Molecule: transfer RNA, 57 nt
Filed under: Bos taurus (domestic cattle)
Lineage: Eukaryota; Metazoa; Chordata; Mammalia; Artiodactyla; Bovidae
Also listed under: 4 other names
Rfam family: tRNA
About the family: Transfer RNA (tRNA) molecules are approximately 80 nucleotides in length. Their secondary structure includes four short double-helical elements and three loops (D, anti-codon, and T loops).
Source: Rfam by way of RNAcentral
UAGCUCAGUUGGUAAAGGAUCUGCCUGCAAUGCAGGAGACCUGGGUUUGAUUCCCAG